UUCCCCGUAAACGUCGGUGGGCGUUAACACAUCAGCUGUCAGAAGUAGUAAAUAGUAACGUUAGAGGUUCGUUGAAUAAUGUUAGCAGCAGCUAGCCAUCAUAGACAUUGAUUCACCCUUCUGGAUGAUUUCGAGCUUGUGUACACUACUGUUUAAUAUCCUCCCUCUCCCCGAUUGAGUUAAAGCUAUCUACAGCUAGCCUGCUAGCGCUAGCUGUCGCUAGCUAGUGGACAUAGAAGCAAAGCAGAGCCCAGACAUUCUCUGAUAGAAGUCAAUGGUUGCCUAACAUACGAUGCAAAUGAUUUGCCAAUAACUAAUACUUCAUUAGCAGACUGUUUAGUUAAAUUACCGGGAAGCCAGCCAACAAGUUAGGAUAGCUAACAGUAGCCAAUAGUGCUAUAACAGACUUUUGUUGACAUGAGAUAGCUACCAGUUGAACCUAGUUCUUGUAUCAUGCUGUUAGGCUCAUUGAAAAUUACAAUGUAUUUAGUACAUCUGUAUAGCUAACGCUACGGCUCUGGUGUCCGUAAGACAAUACAGGAAUCUAAAAGAGGAUGGAACUCACUAACUCACUACUAUAUGUACUUAAUGUCUCUAUGUCUUAUUUUUCAUUUUAGAUGACAGAGCACUGAACUGUGAGAUGUCUGUCCAUCAAUUGAAUUGACGGCAAGAUAGUCAAAGAACAGCAAAUUGAUGGGGAGAUUGCUGGGGUUGACAGAGGGGAUGGUUGAACAACUGUUUCCUCUGAUGAAACACAGUCUUGUUUUUUAAGGGGGGAAAGUUAUGCAAAUCAUCGUUGGUUCAGUACCCAAACCAUAAAAAAUACAC
Alosa sapidissima (American shad) is the source of this 828-nucleotide long non-coding RNA. RefSeq lists it as uncharacterized. NCBI's taxonomy places the organism in Eukaryota, Metazoa, Chordata, Actinopteri, Clupeiformes, Clupeidae. The transcript is spliced from 3 exons. The record is from RefSeq and is a predicted model, not a curated record.